UGGCUCAGUGGUUAAGAGCACUGGCUAUUCUUCCAGAGUACCUGGGUUCAAUUCCCAG
This 58-nucleotide transfer RNA is filed under the name Mesocricetus auratus (golden hamster). It matches the Rfam family "tRNA", at positions 8 to 63 of the family's 71-position model. From Rfam's summary of the family: Transfer RNA (tRNA) molecules are approximately 80 nucleotides in length. Their secondary structure includes four short double-helical elements and three loops (D, anti-codon, and T loops). Further hydrogen bonds mediate the characteristic L-shaped molecular structure. tRNAs have two regions of fundamental functional importance: the anti-codon, which is responsible for specific mRNA codon recognition, and the 3' end, to which the tRNAs corresponding amino acid is attached (by aminoacyl-tRNA synthetases). tRNAs cope with the degeneracy of the genetic code in two manners: having more than one tRNA (with a specific anti-codon) for a particular amino acid; and 'wobble' base-pairing, i.e. permitting non-standard base-pairing at the 3rd anti-codon position. Lineage: Eukaryota; Metazoa; Chordata; Mammalia; Rodentia; Cricetidae. The record is from Rfam by way of RNAcentral.